GGGGUGGAGCUCGGCGUGGAUGCCCGGUCUGGCCCUGGCCUCGUGGGCCUCAGAAGUGACAAGAAUGCGAUGACUAGUGACAUGCGAUGAGGGCUGGGGUCGCCCAGAGUGCUGGGCCACGAAGUAGCGACCUCCGGGCAGGUGUGGGGCCCCUGGCGAGCCCCGGAGGCCGGCAGCCAGAUCCACAGCGACACCAGGGCCCUGCGGGCCGGGACAGCACCCACCUCCUCCUGCUCUGUGCUCCGAGCUCCUGCAGCUGCGGGCACCUGGCCCGUCACUCAGGGAGGUGCAGGCCCCAGCUUGUCCCCACCAGGUGCCAGGGCAUCCCUGCUGGGGGCCAGGCCUG
Molecule: long non-coding RNA, 346 nt
Filed under: Heterocephalus glaber (naked mole-rat)
Lineage: Eukaryota; Metazoa; Chordata; Mammalia; Rodentia; Bathyergidae
Description: lncRNA (ENSHGLG00000043302.1)
Source: RNAcentral